This 204-nucleotide long non-coding RNA is filed under the name Elaeis guineensis (African oil palm). RNAcentral describes it as "long non-coding RNA (EGUI_LNC062726)". The record is from RNAcentral. Lineage: Eukaryota; Viridiplantae; Streptophyta; Magnoliopsida; Arecales; Arecaceae.
CCGACUCCUCCAGCAGUCGACCUUCCACAGUGUCCUCCAGAUUUCUCCAAUGAACAAUCUCCUAUCGUACCCUCUGGACUUUUCUGAUAAUGAGCUCCUUCAGUCGUCUAUUGGACUGCUCCAAAUGCUCUCUGGGCUUUACUAUCAGCCAAUUUUCUACAGUGUUCGAGUACUCUCCGAAUCUCUUCCAGACUUCCUCCUGUC